ACCAUGGCUUUCGAUUGUUACU
Molecule: microRNA, 22 nt
Filed under: Oryctolagus cuniculus (rabbit)
Lineage: Eukaryota; Metazoa; Chordata; Mammalia; Lagomorpha; Leporidae
Description: Ocu-Mir-132-P1_5p (mature (guide))
Source: RNAcentral